UGGGGAAUUUUGGACAAUGGGCGAAAGCCUGAUCCAGCAAUGCCGCGUGUGUGAAGAAGGCCUUCGGGUUGUGAAGCACUUUUGUCCGGAAAGAAAUCCUUGGCUCUAAUACAGUCGGGGGAUGACGGUACCGGAAGAAUAAGCAUCGGCUAACUACGUGCCAGCAGCCGCGGUAAUACGUAGGGUGCAAGCGUUAAUCGGAAUUACUGGGCGUAAAGCGUGCGCAGGCGGUUUGCUAAGACCGAUGUGAAAUCCCCGGGCUCAACCUGGGAACUGCAUUGGUGACUGGCAGGCUAGAGUGUGGCAGAGGGGGGUAGAAUUCCACGUGUAGCAGUGAAAUGCGUAGAGAUGUGGAGGAAUACCGAUGGCGAAGGCAGCCCCCUGGGCCAAUACUGACGCUCAUGCACGAAAGCGUGGGGAGCAAACAGGAUUAGAUACCCUGGUAGUCCACGCCCUAAACGAUGUCAACUAGUUGUUGGGGAUUCAUUUCCUUAGUAACGUAGCUAACGCGUGAAGUUGACCGCCUGGGGAGUACGGUCGCAAGAUUAAAACUCAAAUGAAUUGACGGGGUCAUAGCUGUUUCCU
This 585-nucleotide ribosomal RNA is filed under the name uncultured bacterium. RNAcentral's name for it is "partial 16S ribosomal RNA". It matches the Rfam family "Bacterial small subunit ribosomal RNA", at positions 355 to 1375 of the family's 1533-position model. The record is from RNAcentral.